UACGUAGGGCGCAAGCGUUGUCCGGAAUUACUGGGCGUAAAGCGCGCGUAGGUGGUUUGUUAAGUUGAAUGUGAAAUCCCCGGGCUCAACCUGGGAACUGCAUCCAAAACUGGCAAGCUAGAGUAGGGCAGAGGGUGGUGGAAUUUCCUGUGUAGCGGUGAAAUGCGUAGAUAUAGGAAGGAACACCAGUGGCGAAGGCGACCACCUGGGCUCAUACUGACACUGAGGUGCGAAAGCGUGGGGAGCAAACAGG
RNAcentral lists this ribosomal RNA (253 nucleotides) under uncultured bacterium. Its description in RNAcentral is "partial 16S ribosomal RNA". It matches the Rfam family "Bacterial small subunit ribosomal RNA", at positions 524 to 776 of the family's 1533-position model. The record is from RNAcentral.